GUUGUACCUAAUUUUGUUAUUCAAAAGAGUCGCCUGCAGAUGGUCAUUCCAUCACCUAAUGGAACUUGAGAAAUUUGAAUUCGGGUAUCUGCAGCAAGGGAUUUGUUUAACUCCAGUAAGUAACUUCUUUCUGAUCUCAUCAACUCGUGAACGCUCUCCUCUGGCAUCACAAGUGUUCCAUACCAUAGUGUGUUAUCAUACACUAUCAAGCCUCCAACUUUCACCAGCUGCAUUAGUCUCUCGUGAUAGUUUCCGUAGUUAGUCUUAUCCGCGUCCACAA
This 280-nucleotide unclassified non-coding RNA is filed under the name Hevea brasiliensis (rubber tree). Lineage: Eukaryota; Viridiplantae; Streptophyta; Magnoliopsida; Malpighiales; Euphorbiaceae. The record is from RNAcentral.